AAGGUUCGAUUCGAGCGCAGCGAGAAAGCGUUGCCGCAGGCAACGACCCGAAGGGCGAAGCGCGCAGCGAGAAAGCGUUGCCGCAGGCAACGACCCGAAGGGCGAAGCGCGCAGCGCUGAGUCAUCCUUCCCCCACCACCA
Molecule: small RNA, 141 nt
Filed under: Salmonella enterica
Lineage: Bacteria; Pseudomonadati; Pseudomonadota; Gammaproteobacteria; Enterobacterales; Enterobacteriaceae
Description: partial RtT sRNA
Rfam family: RtT RNA
About the family: This family represents a bacterial cis-regulatory element known as RtT RNA. The exact function of RtT is unknown although it is thought that it may be involved in changing the cellular response in relation to amino acid starvation.
Source: RNAcentral